This 64-nucleotide microRNA precursor is filed under the name Triops cancriformis. Its description in RNAcentral is "microRNA tcf-mir-10300 precursor". Lineage: Eukaryota; Metazoa; Arthropoda; Branchiopoda; Notostraca; Triopsidae. The record is from miRBase by way of RNAcentral.
UGUGAUGUGUUAUUUCAAACUAGUGUGCUUUUAUGCAUUCACUAGUUAAAUAGCACAUCAUUAG